RNAcentral lists this ribosomal RNA (1160 nucleotides) under Bacillus pumilus. Its description in RNAcentral is "bacterial SSU rRNA". It matches the Rfam family "Bacterial small subunit ribosomal RNA", at positions 207 to 1360 of the family's 1533-position model. Lineage: Bacteria; Bacillati; Bacillota; Bacilli; Caryophanales; Bacillaceae. The record is from RNAcentral.
UUCGGCUGUCACUUACAGAUGGACCCGCGGCGCAUUAGCUAGUUGGUGAGGUAACGGCUCACCAAGGCGACGAUGCGUAGCCGACCUGAGAGGGUGAUCGGCCACACUGGGACUGAGACACGGCCCAGACUCCUACGGGAGGCAGCAGUAGGGAAUCUUCCGCAAUGGACGAAAGUCUGACGGAGCAACGCCGCGUGAGUGAUGAAGGUUUUCGGAUCGUAAAGCUCUGUUGUUAGGGAAGAACAAGUGCAAGAGUAACUGCUUGCACCUUGACGGUACCUAACCAGAAAGCCACGGCUAACUACGUGCCAGCAGCCGCGGUAAUACGUAGGUGGCAAGCGUUGUCCGGAAUUAUUGGGCGUAAAGGGCUCGCAGGCGGUUUCUUAAGUCUGAUGUGAAAGCCCCCGGCUCAACCGGGGAGGGUCAUUGGAAACUGGGAAACUUGAGUGCAGAAGAGGAGAGUGGAAUUCCACGUGUAGCGGUGAAAUGCGUAGAGAUGUGGAGGAACACCAGUGGCGAAGGCGACUCUCUGGUCUGUAACUGACGCUGAGGAGCGAAAGCGUGGGGAGCGAACAGGAUUAGAUACCCUGGUAGUCCACGCCGUAAACGAUGAGUGCUAAGUGUUAGGGGGUUUCCGCCCCUUAGUGCUGCAGCUAACGCAUUAAGCACUCCGCCUGGGGAGUACGGUCGCAAGACUGAAACUCAAAGGAAUUGACGGGGGCCCGCACAAGCGGUGGAGCAUGUGGUUUAAUUCGAAGCAACGCGAAGAACCUUACCAGGUCUUGACAUCCUCUGACAACCCUAGAGAUAGGGCUUUCCCUUCGGGGACAGAGUGACAGGUGGUGCAUGGUUGUCGUCAGCUCGUGUCGUGAGAUGUUGGGUUAAGUCCCGCAACGAGCGCAACCCUUGAUCUUAGUUGCCAGCAUUCAGUUGGGCACUCUAAGGUGACUGCCGGUGACAAACCGGAGGAAGGUGGGGAUGACGUCAAAUCAUCAUGCCCCUUAUGACCUGGGCUACACACGUGCUACAAUGGACAGAACAAAGGGCUGCGAGACCGCAAGGUUUAGCCAAUCCCACAAAUCUGUUCUCAGUUCGGAUCGCAGUCUGCAACUCGACUGCGUGAAGCUGGAAUCGCUAGUAAUCGCGGAUCAGCAUGCCGC